RNAcentral lists this transfer RNA (65 nucleotides) under Trigonidium sjostedti. Its description in RNAcentral is "tRNA-Cys". The record is from RNAcentral. Lineage: Eukaryota; Metazoa; Arthropoda; Insecta; Orthoptera; Trigonidiidae.
GGUCUUAUAUUCAAAUGUAAUGAUAUUAAAUUGCAAAUUUAAUGGUGUAGAAUUUACUAAGACUU